GACGAACGCUGGCGGCGUGCCUAAUACAUGCAAGUCGAGCGAGCGGCGGACGGGUGAGUAACACGUAAGGAACCUACCGCUAAGCGGGGGACAACAUCCGGAAACGGGUGCUAAUACCGCAUACUUAUCGAUGGCCUUGCGGUGCAUUAGCUGGUUGGUGGGGUAACGGCCUACCAAGGCCAUGAUGCAUAGCCGACCUGAGAGGGUAAUCGGCCACACUGGGACUGAGACACGGCCCAAACUCCUACGGGAGGCAGCAGUAGGGAAUAUUCCGCAAUGGGCGCAAGCCUGACGGAGCCACGCCGCGUGAGUGAAGAAGGUCUUCGGAUCGUAAAGCUCUGUUGUAAGGGAGGCGGUACUUUACCAGAAAGCAACGGCUAACUACGUGCCAGCAGCCGCGGUAAUAC
RNAcentral lists this ribosomal RNA (407 nucleotides) under uncultured bacterium. RNAcentral describes it as "partial 16S ribosomal RNA". It matches the Rfam family "Bacterial small subunit ribosomal RNA", at positions 28 to 526 of the family's 1533-position model. The record is from RNAcentral.